This 738-nucleotide ribosomal RNA is filed under the name Salmonella enterica subsp. arizonae serovar 48:z4,z24:-. RNAcentral describes it as "partial 23S ribosomal RNA". It matches the Rfam family "Bacterial large subunit ribosomal RNA", at positions 2205 to 2925 of the family's 2925-position model. Lineage: Bacteria; Pseudomonadati; Pseudomonadota; Gammaproteobacteria; Enterobacterales; Enterobacteriaceae. The record is from RNAcentral.
CUUUAAUGGCUGGUGUUCUAACGUAGACCCGUGAACCGGGUUGCGGACAGUGUCUGGUGGGUAGUUUGACUGGGGCGGUCUCCUCCUAAAGCGUAACGGAGGAGCACGAAGGUUGGCUAAUCCUGGUCGGACAUCAGGAGGUUAGUGCAAUGGCAUAAGCCAGCUUGACUGCGAGCGUGACGGCGCGAGCAGGUGCGAAAGCAGGUCAUAGUGAUCCGGUGGUUCUGAAUGGAAGGGCCAUCGCUCAACGGAUAAAAGGUACUCCGGGGAUAACAGGCUGAUACCGCCCAAGAGUUCAUAUCGACGGCGGUGUUUGGCACCUCGAUGUCGGCUCAUCACAUCCUGGGGCUGAAGUAGGUCCCAAGGGUAUGGCUGUUCGCCAUUUAAAGUGGUACGCGAGCUGGGUUUAGAACGUCGUGAGACAGUUCGGUCCCUAUCUGCCGUGGGCGCUGGAGAACUGAGGGGGGCUGCUCCUAGUACGAGAGGACCGGAGUGGACGCAUCACUGGUGUUCGGGUUGUCAUGCCAAUGGCACUGCCCGGUAGCUAAAUGCGGAAGAGAUAAGUGCUGAAAGCAUCUAAGCACGAAACUUGCCCCGAGAUGAGUUCUCCCUGAGACUACAAGUCUCCUGAAGGAACGUUGAAGACGACGACGUUGAUAGGCCGGGUGUGUAAGCGCAGCGAUGCGUUGAGCUAACCGGUACUAAUGAACCGUGAGGCUUAACCUUACAACGCCGAAG